RNAcentral lists this ribosomal RNA (419 nucleotides) under uncultured bacterium. RNAcentral describes it as "bacterial SSU rRNA". It matches the Rfam family "Bacterial small subunit ribosomal RNA", at positions 335 to 747 of the family's 1533-position model. The record is from RNAcentral.
ACUCCUACGGGAGGCAGCAGUGGGAAUAUUGCACAAUGGGCGCAAGCCUGAUGCAGCCAUGCCGCGUGUGUGAAGAAGGCCUUCGGGUUGUAAAGCACUUUCAGUCGUGAGGAAGGUAGUGUAGUUAAUAGCUGCAUUAUUUGACGUUAGCGACAGAAGAAGCACCGGCUAACUACGUGCCAGCAGCCGCGGUAAUACGUAGGGCGCAAGCGUUGUCCGGAAUUAUUGGGCGUAAAGAGCUCGUAGGCGGUUUGUCGCGUCUGCUGUGAAAUCCCGAGGCUCAACCUCGGGCUUGCAGUGGGUACGGGCAGACUAGAGUGUGGUAGGGGAGACUGGAAUUCCUGGUGUAGCGGUGGAAUGCGCAGAUAUCAGGAGGAACACCAAUGGCGAAGGCAGGUCUCUGGGCCACAACUGACGCU